AUACGGAGGGUGCAAGCGUUAAUCGGAAUUACUGGGCGUAAAGCGCACGCAGGCGGUCUGUCAAGUCGGAUGUGAAAUCCCCGGGCUUAACCUGGGAACUGCAUUCGAAACUGGCAGGCUAGAGUCUUGUAGAGGGGGGUAGAAUUCCAGGUGUAGCGGUGAAAUGCGUAGAGAUCUGGAGGAAUACCGGUGGCGAAGGCGGCCCCCUGGACAAAGACUGACGCUCAGGUGCGAAAGCGUGGGGAGCAAACAGGAUUAGAUACCCUGGUAGUCCACGCCGUAAACGAUGUCGACUUGGAGGCUGUUCCCCUGAGGAGUGGCUUCCGGAGCUAACGCGUUAAGUCGACCGCCUGGGGAGUACGGCCGCAAGGUUAAA
Molecule: ribosomal RNA, 376 nt
Filed under: uncultured Klebsiella sp.
Lineage: Bacteria; Pseudomonadati; Pseudomonadota; Gammaproteobacteria; Enterobacterales; Enterobacteriaceae
Description: bacterial SSU rRNA
Rfam family: Bacterial small subunit ribosomal RNA
Source: RNAcentral